AAAAUGUAACAGUGCAAAUGUAAAAUGGUGGCCUCUGUGCAAUGAUGAAGGGCAAGUAGAUGUUGUAAAUGGAGGAAUCUUUUCAUACUAGAAAAUGAGACUGGCAUGGAGAAAAGAAUAAGAAAAAAACCAGUACAGGCUAAAACCAUGUGCAGUGAGAUCCUAAGCAAGCCUACUCUGAAGUAAGCCCCACUGAGUUCAAUUAAAUAUAUUCCAUUGUUAACAUGCAUAGAACUGUAGCCUUCUUUAACAGUCUAAGAUUUGAUUAGAGGCUUUCAGCUGCUGUGAUUUUAAUAAAUAAUUGUGAUCUAAACUAAGUUACAGUUAGUUGCAAUCUGUGUUAUCUUGGAAUGCAGGGGCAGAUGGGGCUCAUCAACCUGGCAAGGUAGCCCAUCUAGGAAAAAGGAAACUUCGAUCCUAAACAUCUGCUGUCUUGCAGUUAAACUAAUUUGUGAGAAAUCCUUUGGGAGUAAACCCUGAGGAACAAUUUGUACCCGCUGCUUUGUGAAAUAUCUCCCAGAGAAGAAGAGGCUAAGGAUUAAACCCUACACAAAUCCAGAGUGGAAUCCCUAAGGCAGUUGGAUGGUGUCUUGUAUGCCUCCUUCUGCCAACUCCUGCAGCCCAGCUGGCGCCAGAUGUAUUGCUUUGCUUUGGACCACACCAAGAGGGGAGUCUUGUCAUCUGGGCAGCCCAGGAUCUCCAUACAUACUGCCCAGGCUUGCACCCUGGGGAGGUCACUGCAAAUACAGCAAAAACUAUGUGGGAGGUACCAGCUACAAGUUAUAAGUUCAACCUGAUUGGCGUAAGGUACAAGUACUACAGGUUGUCUUCACUGGUGGGAGAGAUCAUUGUGUCUCACUGGUCAGCUAUGGCUUAAGCGGGGCAGCCCUUGGUCAACCCAUAGCAGUGACCAGAAGAAUGACCACUGGGAAGAGCACAGAGAGAAGAUAUGUCAUGGUGCAUCUGCAGCAGGACAACCAGAGACCUUCAUCUGUCCCAGCUGGAACCAAACAUGUCUAUUCCACAUCAGUCUCUGAAGCCACAGCAGGUACUGCAACCUUCCAACAGUUUGACUUCACACCCAAAGGUGCACACUUUCAUUGUCUCCCGAGGCAGACAGAUGCCAACAACAAGUAUACUAAUUCAAGAAAUAGGAUGCAACAUAGUUUUAAUGGGAAAUCCCUGUUUGUUUCUUAAUUCUGCCCUUAGGAUCCUUUUCUUAAUUUGUAUGGUACCAGUCUGGACAUUUUCAUGGUGCUUGAAAUCACUGGAAAUGUUCCAACACCAGAGUAGCUAACCUGUGGCCCUCCAAAUGUUGUUAGACCCUCACUUCCAUCAACCCCAGUCAAAAUGGCCAAUGAUCAGAAAUAAUGGGAGUUGUAGUCCAGGGACAACUGGAGGAUCAAAGGUUAGUCACCACACUGGUUAACCACACCCUCUCUUGCUUUGUAGUCUUGAACGGAUUUGUCAUUGCAGGGAACUUUAUGGGGCGGGGAAGAGCAGAAACUUGGGACAUCUCAGCACACUCACCAAACUAUUCCCAUGAUUCUUUUUGGAAGCUGUAACAAUUAAAACAAUGGUUUGUUUCUGGUAAAGGAUAGAGACGGCCCCUUUGAUACUUGAGCAUGAUAAGUACUUAACUGGGUUGUCCCAAACUAGUUGCUUAUUUUACCUUUCCAAGAUUUAAUUGACGUAGCUGGAAGUCAGGAUCAGAGUGAAGAAUAAGGCAAUCUGUGGCAAUUUCCAACUAUUCAGGGCCUUGAAUGCACUGUCAGGAAAAGUGUACCCAAGAAGCCCACACAAUUUUGGAGUUUCCACAAUUGUGUCAAUUCCUGAAACUAACUUAAAAGGUUGCACCGGAGUUCUCUUUAAGCGAGCGGAACAGAUCAAUCUUAUCACCAUCUCUAUGAAUUUUAAAUAAUAGCCACUUUUCUUUUCUUCCUUGGCUAACUGUUGCAUGUUCAGAAGCUUUCCUUUUACAACGUCAUAUUUCUUCCUUCUUUAAUAGAAAUUACUUUAAUGGACAAGAUGAUGUUAAAAUUUUGAUUUAAAUGUACUUGGGCACAGUGGGAACAUCAGUAUUUUUAUAUUUAGCCUUCAAAAGCUCAAGAAAUUGUGUUCUCAUUCUUGGCAGGAGCAACUUUGCCCCACCUCUCCUAGAAGAAAGAGACUCAGGUUGAUUCCUUCUUUUGAGAGGGGGAUAAGUAGAUCACAUGUGGCCAGAGUGACCAAUGAGCAGGGAGGGUUAGCCAGCUAUUUAAGGCUGACUCCAUCCCUCUUCACCUGGUCAUCCUCACAGGCUUGGUUCCCUUAGGGUCAGGCCUGCAGGACCUGGGUACACCGGCUAAGCUUCAUUUACCCAAGGCUCACUUAACAAAGACAGGAAGUUUUCUUCCAGUCCUCAGCUGGGAGGCAAAUCACCUGCUGGUUUACUUGGCCAGGGGGAGGGAUACUUCACUCUCAUGUUUCCAUUGAUUCCCCCUGCCUGCACAUAUUUAUUUGGCUAAUUGCAGAUCCUCCAAUUUGUUUUGUAUCAUUAUCAUUAUUUAUAUAAUGAUUUUUUCCCUGACAGGAACUCAAGACAGCUUACAGAUAAAAUAAGGACAGUUAAAAACAUAGAUAUAGUAAUAAUUAAUUAAUAUACCCUUGUUGCCACAUAAAAAGUUGUCCUGAGUCUUCUUUCUAGGUAUGGGGGCAACAUAUCUAUGUAUAUGAUCCAACAGGAAAGGGAAAAUCUGGUUGCCAUAUUUACUUCAUGUGCCAUCAGGAAAAUAUGAUGUUGGCACAGGCAGCUAUGUUGCUGCUUAACUGCAGUUUAUAUCCAAGUGCACUUACAUUUACCAUUGAUUUAAAUGGAGGGCUAGUUGAUCCAUCUCUCCAGCCUUCAACCCAGGUAGCUAUAUAGAGGUAUGAUAUUGUCUGUCAUGUUUUUGACCUUGAGAGAAUAGACAUAAACAUAUCUGAGCUACCAGUAAUAGUUGGAGAAUGUUGGUUGUCAUGGGGGUGACUUACUCCUGAUUUGCCAUAAUGUCAAUGUGCCAAUUAAAUAUGAAUUAAGAUGAUGUCGCCUAGCAUCCCUGGACAUCUUUGCAACUCAUUAGUGUUGCAGCUUUUUCAAAAAAUAAGAAACUAACAUUCUAAAUAUGUUCUUUUUUUCAAAAAGAGGCUAUAACUGAAAGUUGAAUGAGAAGAAUGCUUUACUCUUUUAUUAGUUCACUUUCUGCUAUAUAUCUAGUCUGUAUGCCAAGAAAAGUAUAAUCAAAUGGCAAGUUAUUGGUUUUUCAAUAACACAGUUUUAAAAAGAGAAUAAAAUAGCAUAUCUUACCUGGCAGUAUUUAUGAAACAAUUAAUAUUGCUAGUGUAUUUUCCACUUCCUCAAUAUUUCAUAUGCCGUAUCAGUUUUUAUAAACCUCAAAAGCAGGCAUAGGCAAACUCCAGCCCUCCAGAUAUUUGAGACUACAAUUCCCAUCAUCCCUGACCACUGGUCCUGUUAACUAGGGAAGAUGGGAAUUGUAGUCCCAAACAUCUGGAGGGCCAGAGUUUACCUAUGCCUGCUCAAAAGACUACAAGAAAGACUAAUCUGAGAACUAACAAGACAGUGAGGCAACACUUUGGGGCAGAAAUACAGCAUUCAUGUUGUCUUAUCCAAUUCUCUUACAAAAUAAAAUGAAGUUGUAAUUCUAUUGAACUUUUGGGAGAUGUUUCUGAAGGCACAAUUGAACACAAUAUCUUGUUUUUAACUCUGUAGUCUUAAAAUUUAUACCCAUAUCUGUUAAGCUUAAUUCCAUUCCUGUUGAGAUUUAUAAUCCUGACAUAUUUCUAAUUCUUUGGUUUUGCCCCCAAAUGACAGAAACAGUAUAAUGCUCUCUUGCACAUAGAGAAACACAUGGUGGACAUGAUACUGCAGCUCAUAAUAUAUGGAUAUUUUAUUGUGGUCACCAGCCAAAAAUCAACAACAACAAUAAAAUUAUGUUUCCCCUAUAUUGCAUUCUAACCUGACAUCCAUAUAUGUAGGAUAAUGAAAUUACUGUGGAGUGUGAGGAGAAGGCCUGUAUUGCGUAAAGAGUUUACUUUGGUCUGGAGGUUUUUGCUUAUUCCCUUUGAUGUAUCUCAGAAAUCUUCCAAGUAAACCAGCCAAAGGACUGUUCUGGGAUUAGUAGAGUGACCUGGUCGCUGUCCAUGGUACUGAAAACCAAAGCUAAGUCAUUCUUGUUUGUUUUAUUGUGAAGUAGGUGCUCUUUCAUAGCCUCCCUUGCAACCUCAUUUAGCCAAGACUGAUGAGGCAACAGCACACUGUAAAUGUUACUGCAAGAAGCUAUUCAGUUCAGUUUGUUUCUCUGGAGUCUGUAUGGUGGCGAUUGCACACUACUUGUAUCUUCACUUUAUUUCACCUGCACAUACAUAACGGUAGUAUUUCGGAUUUGCAAAUCGAAGCCUUGAUGCAACUGAUUCCAUUUAUCCAGGGGCAUCCUUUAAUCUUAAAUUCAGCAGCUCCUUUGGCAUUACUAAGGUAUGUGAUAUAAAUCAGAUAUGAGAGCCCUUUUAAGAAACUGAUUUUUGGCUCAAUGGACCGUAACCACUUUGAAAUCAAUGAUUAUUUAGGAACUCUUAAAACUGUAGAUAAUUUAGCUGCUGCACACACACGUAUUGGUUCUAUUUUCUUCUUAUUGGUUUACAUGUGAAUAAUCUAUAUUUGUCUGGGUCUCUCCUACACAGGUGGUUGAGUAUGGAUUAUAGCAAUUCUCCUUUUUUAAUACACCAGGCAGAGCUGUAAAAGAUUUCAGCACCAUCCCCACCCUUAGAAAGAGACUUAAAGGGCAAAGUUGGAGAGUUUGGUGUUGCAGUUCUACUCAAUUUCAGUGGAAUGCGAGGAGGUUAAGCAUCAUGUGAAAGGGCCCUGGCAUUUUGCAACCUAAUAAUUAUCAUAUAUUAUUUUUCUCUUCACAUCUCUAGAAGCCUUGUGACUAUGUUUGUUUCUUGACACAUGGUAUCAAGCUUUCUAGCUCAGGAUCAGAUAGCUGCUCUAGAAUUUGAAGGAGAUCCACUUUUAAACUUAAAAGUGCCUCUAGUUCUUGUUGCUAUAGACCCUAUAAUAUAGAGCAGUAGGUGGGUUGUACUUCCUCAUGGAAAGCCCAGCUGAGGGUGGUGGUAUCACAUUUCAGUAGUGGGUAGGGCCAAAAGCAACACUGGACAGAGUAUCAAUUGUUACUCUUACUUUUGUACAGCAGGCUACAUUUCUAUACACAAACACAAAAAGCCCAUGGAGAAGGUAUAGAAGAGGACUAGUGAGAGGUGUGACCUGGGUGCAUAUGGCUAGGAAAGAGUUCUGAGAGUCAGACGGAGGAGGACGGAGGACCACAUUUGACCCCCAGUCUUGUGGUUCCCCAUCCCUGCUAUAGAGUCAAAACUUGUAAGAGUGGGAAACUUCAAUUAAAAUAUUUGAAAACAAGGAGAUAUGUGUAGGGCUUCCAGUGGGCAGGGAACAGAUUUAAUAAAAAUUAAUUUUAUAAUUUCCCAUGAAUAAUAUUACACAUUUCCAAAGUGUUAUAUCUGGACUUUACAUAGGACUGUGGCUUCCAUGGAAAUGGGGUCUCCAAUAUGGCACCCUCAGGUUCCCUGCCCCUGUCUUUUUAUUUUUUCAUUUUAGUUUUGUUUAAAUGAUGUUGUUCAGGUGGGAGGAAAUCUCGGGGGGGGGGGGUUGCAAGUGUUGUCAGGUAUUUUGGGCUAUGUUUUAUUUGGUUUUAGGAAUGUAUGUGUAUGUGUUUUGCCUGUUCGAGGAGACUGGUGAGGGGCUGAGUGUCAUCAGUUUUUCUUCUGUGAAAUUGGUUCUUUGUGGUGCCCACAACAGUUUGUUUUUUUUAGAUUUCCAGGUGUACCCUCAAGCCAAAAAGAUUAUGGACUUCUGACAUAACGCAUUACAGCUGGGACCAUAAACCAUACUUCUACUAUUAUAAUCUCAGGAAACCAUAGGUAGAGUAUUAAUAUGGAAUGAGUACCUUCUAAUUAUGUUGGUAACAAUCUUUGGUCCUUCUGUUCAAACUUACUGGAGAACCUACUGGUUGGGGUUAACCUACAAUUACCUCCUUCCAUAAGGUAGGGUCUGCUCUAUCCCUCCUUCUCUGAAGAUAGAAUGAUAGAAACAAGGAACAGAGUCUUUUGGGAGGUGACACCUUCAUUAUGCCCUCCAAGCCUUCUUGGUAUCAUCACUUAAUAUCCCCACUUGGCCACCUAAUGACAGGCACACAGACCAGUUUCAGACACAGCCAUAGAGAAACCCUUUCAGACACAGAGAAAUCCUUUCCCAGUACAGUAAAGGGAGCAGUCAACACUAAAUCAGCAGAAGAAACUAUCCCAAACAGUGCAUUUACACAAUUGAUCCUUGUGAACAUUAUCCAAUUAAUUAUGGGUUGUAAAAUAGUAAUAAAAUAAUUCUUGUUUAAAUCCAAUGUUAUGUGCAGUUGUACAAACACUAAUUAGGGAACAAAUAUUAUUGAUGCAUGUGAAAGCUUAAAGGAAAUUUUUAAAAUGCAGAUUCAAUCUGUUGCUGUUCUGUCACUUUCAACACACCAUUGUGGAGUGGGAGAGCCAUUCUGUAACAAAGGCAAUUUCCUGGAUUUGUGCAGUGCAGCAUAAUUCAGCCAAACGUAAUCAUCCCAUCCCAUCCUUGAAAUGGGAGUUAGUUGCAAUGAUUUUAAAAUGCCAUUCAUUUUAAAGGGACAUUAAAUCUGACGUGUGUUCUAUUCUAAGGUUGGGAAACCCAUAGGCCCUCCAGAUAUUUCUGGGCUCCAAUUCCCAUCAGACCCAGCCAGGAAGGCCAGUGGUCAUGGGUGACCACCAUCUGAAGGACCACAAGAUCUCUGCCCAUGUUCUGUGUCCUUCCAUGGGAGCACCUGGGGGCUAGGAGCUCACAUAGCCUGUCCACUGAAGAGCUGAGAAGGAGAGUGGCUGCUGAAUCCUCUCCCUCCCAUUCCAAAUAAAGGUGAGAUGACUUGCUACAUGCCUGGAAGAAGAAGGGGAUAAUGGAGAGGGCUCUACAAUGUGUUAUGAGAAUCCUGUCCACAUAUGCAGCUCUGCACUGGCCUCCCACAGGAGGGGUGGAUAAAGUAAUUUGCCCUGACAAAAUGUAGUUGCUAGCUAAGCUCAAUUCAAAUCCAAGGAAUUCAACCUGAAAUCCUCAAUCC
This 7181-nucleotide long non-coding RNA is filed under the name Podarcis lilfordi (Lilford's wall lizard). The record is from RNAcentral. Lineage: Eukaryota; Metazoa; Chordata; Lepidosauria; Squamata; Lacertidae.